RNAcentral lists this ribosomal RNA (251 nucleotides) under uncultured bacterium. RNAcentral's name for it is "partial 16S ribosomal RNA". It matches the Rfam family "Bacterial small subunit ribosomal RNA", at positions 524 to 774 of the family's 1533-position model. The record is from RNAcentral.
UACAGAGGGUGCAAGCGUUAAUCGGAAUUACUGGGCGUAAAGCGAGCGUAGGUGGCUUGAUAAGUCAGAUGUGAAAUCCCCGGGCUUAACCUGGGAACUGCAUCUGAUACUGUUGGGCUAGAGUAGGUGAGAGGGAGGUAGAAUUUCAGGUGUAGCGGUGAAAUGCGUAGAGAUCUGAAGGAAUACCGAUGGCGAAGGCAGCCUCCUGGCAUCAUACUGACACUGAGGUUCGAAAGCGUGGGUAGCAAACA